Molecule: ribosomal RNA, 479 nt
Filed under: uncultured bacterium
Lineage: Bacteria
Description: partial 16S ribosomal RNA
Rfam family: Bacterial small subunit ribosomal RNA
Source: RNAcentral
GACGAACGCUGGCGGCGUGCUUAACACAUGCAAGUCGAGCGAUGAAGCACCUUCGGGUGUGAAUUAGCGGCGAACGGGUGAGGAACACGUGAGAAAUCUGCCUUCAACACUGGGAUAACUCCGGGAAACCGGGGCUAAUACCGGAUAUGAAACCUGCGGGCAUCCGCGGGUUUGGAAAGUUUUUCGGUUGAAGAUGAUCUCGCGGCCUAUCAGCUUGUUGGUGAGGUAAUGGCUAACCAAGGCGACGACGGGUAGCCGGCCUGAGAGGGCGACCGGCCACACUGGGACUGAGACACGGCCCAGACUCCUACGGGAGGCAGCAGUGGGGAAUAUUGGGCAAUGGAGGAAACUCUGACUCAGCGACGCCGCGUGCGGGAUGAAGGCCUUCGGGUUGUAAACCGCUUUCAGCAGGGAAGAAGCGAAAGUGACGGUACCUGCAGAAGAAGCACCGGCUAACUAUGUGCCAGCCGCCGCAGUAA